Molecule: ribosomal RNA, 497 nt
Filed under: uncultured bacterium
Lineage: Bacteria
Description: partial 16S ribosomal RNA
Rfam family: Bacterial small subunit ribosomal RNA
Source: RNAcentral
GAUGAACGCUGGCGGCGUGCCUAAUACAUGCAAGUCGAGCGAACGGACGAGAAGCUUGCUUCUCUGAUGUUAGCGGCGGACGGGUGAGUAACACGUGGAUAACCUACCUAUAAGACUGGGAUAACUUCGGGAAACCGUAGCUAAUACCGGAUAAUAUUUUGAACCGCAUGGUUCAAAAGUGAAAGACGGUCUUGCUGUCACUUAUAGAUGGAUCCGCGCUGCAUUAGCUAGUUGGUAAGGUAACGGCUUACCAAGGCAACGAUGCAUAGCCGACCUGAGAGGGUGAUCGGCCACACUGGAACGGAGACACGGUCCAGACUCCUACGGGAGGCAGCAGUAGGGAAUCUUCCGCAAAGGGCGAAAGCCUGACGGAGCAACGCCGCGUGAGUGAUGAAGGUCUUCGGAUCGUAAAACUCUGUUAUUAGGGAAGAACAUAUGUGUAAGUAACUGUGCACAUCGUGACGGUACCUAAUCAGAAAGCCACGGCUAACUACGUG